CUGCCUUCAUAAAUGGGAUAAUGUAAAGGAGAUUAAAAGGAGGCUGUUUGCUCCCUUCUACCAUGUGAGAAUGCAGCAAGAGGUACCAUCUCUGUGCAAUGAGCCCUUACCAGACAUUGAACCUGCUGGCACUUUAUCUUGGACUUCCCAGCCUCCAGAACUUAGAGAUGAUGUCUUGCCACAUUGCCCAGGCUGGUCUCAAACUCCAGGCCUAAAGGGAUCUUCUGACUUUGGCCUCCCAAAGUGCUGAGAUUAUAGAUGGGAAACACUCAGACAUCAACAGGCUCACCCUUGAAAUGCAUCCUAAGCCAUUGGGACCAAUUUGAUCUGCAAACCCUGAAAAAGAGGAUCGAGGCUAUCAAGCUACAGAUGAUCUUACAAAUGGAACCCCAAAUGAGCUCAACUAACAACUACCAAGGACCCCUGGACCAACCCGCUGGCCCUUUCAAUGGCCUAAAGAGUUCCCCUCUGGAGGACACUACAACUGCAGGGUCCUUUCUUUGCCCCUAUCCAGCAGGAAGUAGCUAGAGUGGUCAUCACCCAAUUCCCAACAGCAGUUGGGGUGUCUUGUUAAGUGGGGAGAUUGAGAGGUGAAGCCAGCUGGGCUUCUGGGUUGGGUGGGGACUUGGAGAACUUUUCUGUCUAGCUAGAGGAUUGUAAACACACCAAUCAGUGCUAUGUGUCUAGCUAGAGGUUUGUAAAUGCACCAAUCAGCACUCUGUAAAAACGGACCAAUCAGCACUCUGUAAAAUGGACCAAUCAGUAGGAUGCGGGCAGGGCCAAAUAAGGGAAUAAAAGCUGGCCACCUGAGUCAGCAGUGGCAACCCACUCGGGUCCCCUUCCAUGCUGUGGAAGCUUUGUUCUUUCACUCUUCACAAUAAAUCUUGCUGCUGCUCACUCUUUGGGUCCACACCACCUUUAUGAGCUGCAACACUCACUGCGAAGGUCUUCAGCUUCACUCCUGAAGUCAGCGAGACCACGAACCCAUGGGGAGGAACAAUCGACUUCAGACAUGCCACCUUUAAGAGCUGUAACACUCACUGCGAAGGUCUGUGGCUUCACUCCUGAAGUCAGCAAGACCACGAACCCACUGGAAGGAAGAAAUUUCGGACACAUCUGAACAUCUGAAUGAACAAACUCUGGACACGCCAUCUUUAAGAACUGUAACACUCACUGUGAGGGUUCAUGGGUUCAUUCUUGAAGUCAGCAAGACCAAGAACCCACCAGAAGGAACCAAUUCCGGACACAGACUCACUGCAACCUCCACCUCCUGGAUUCAAGUGAUUCUCCUGCCUCAGCCUCCGGAGUAGCUGUGCCUACAGGCACAAGCCACCACACACGGCUAAUUUUUUGUAUUUUUAGUAGAGAUGGGGUUUCACCAUGUUGCUCAGGCUGGUCUCCAACUCCUGAGCUCAAGUGAUCCACCUGUCUCGGCCUCCCAAAGUGUUGGGAUACAUGUGUGAGCCACUGUGCCCGGCCUCCUCUGGAUUAGUUCUUACAGGAAUAGAUUAGUUCUUGCUCGAGCAAGUUGUUAUAAAAGUGAGGUUGCCUCUAGUGUUUUGCAUCCUCACAUAUGUCUGCUUACCUCUUGACCUCUCUCUGUGUUAUGACCCAGCACAAAAGCCCUUACCAGAAGCCAAGCAGAUGCUGAUGCCACACCCCUUGGACUUCUCAGUCUACAGAGCCAUGAAAC
Molecule: long non-coding RNA, 1693 nt
Filed under: Homo sapiens (human)
Lineage: Eukaryota; Metazoa; Chordata; Mammalia; Primates; Hominidae
Description: LHRI_LNC1881.6
Source: RNAcentral